Molecule: ribosomal RNA, 253 nt
Filed under: uncultured bacterium
Lineage: Bacteria
Description: partial 16S ribosomal RNA
Rfam family: Bacterial small subunit ribosomal RNA
Source: RNAcentral
UACGUAUGGGGCAAGCGUUAUCCGGAUUUACUGGGUGUAAAGGGAGCGCAGGCGGCCUGGCAAGCCUGAUGUGAAAUACCGGGGCCCAACCCCGGGGCUGCAUUGGGAACUGCCAGGCUGGAGUGCCGGAGAGGCAGGCGGAAUUCCUAGUGUAGCGGUGAAAUGCGUAGAUAUUAGGAGGAACACCAGUGGCGAAGGCGGCCUGCUGGACGGUGACUGACGCUGAGGCUCGAAAGCGUGGGUAUCAAACAGG